UCCUGACUGACCGAUAGUGAACCAGUACCGUGAGGGAAAGGCGAAAAGAACCCCGGCGAGGGGAGUGAAAAAGAACCUGAAACCGUGUACGUACAAGCAGUGGGAGCACGCUUAGGCGUGUGACUGCGUACCUUUUGUAUAAUGGGUCAGCGACUUAUAUUCUGUAGCAAGGUUAACCGAAUAGGGGAGCCGAAGGGAAACCGAGUCUUAACUGGGCGUUAAGUUGCAGGGUAUAGACCCGAAACCCGGUGAUCUAGCCAUGGGCAGGUUGAAGGUUGGGUAACACUAACUGGAGGACCGAACCGACUAAUGUUGAAAAAUUAGCGGAUGACUUGUGGCUGGGGGUGAAAGGCCAAUCAAACCGGGAGAUAGCUGGUUCUCCCCGAAAGCUAUUUAGGUAGCGCCUCGUGAAUUCAUCUCCGGGGGUAGAGCACUGUUUCGGCAAGGGGGUCAUCCCGACUUACCAACCCGAUGCAAACUGCGAAUACCGGAGAAUGUUAUCACGGGAGACACACGGCGGGUGCUAACGUCCGUCGUGAAGAGGGAAACAACCCAGACCGCCAGCUAAGGUCCCAAAGUCAUGGUUAAGUGGGAAACGAUGUGGGAAGGCCCAGACAGCCAGGAUGUUGGCUUAGAAGCAGCCAUCAUUUAAAGAAAGCGUAAUAGCUCACUGGUCGAGUCGGCCUGCGCGGAAGAUGUAACGGGGCUAAACCAUGCACCGAAGCUGCGGCAGCGAUGCUUAUGCGUUGUUGGGUAGGGGAGCGUUCUGUAAGCCUGCGAAGGUGUGCUGUGAGGCAUGCUGGAGGUAUCAGAAGUGCGAAUGCUGACAUAAGUAACGAUAAAGCGGGUGAAAAGCCCGCUCGCCGGAAGACCAAGGGUUCCUGUCCAACGUUAAUCGGGGCAGGGUGAGUCGACCCCUAAGGCGAGGCCGAAAGGCGUAGUCGAUGGGAAACAGGUUAAUAUUCCUGUACUUGGUGUUACUGCGAAGGGGGGACGGAGAAGGCUAUGUUGGCCGGGCGACGGUUGUCCCGGUUUAAGCGUGUAGGCUGGUUUUCCAGGCAAAUCCGGAAAAUCAAGGCUGAGGCGUGAUGACGAGGCACUACGGUGCUGAAGCAACAAAUGCCCUGCUUCCAGGAAAAGCCUCUAAGCAUCAGGUAACAUCAAAUCGUACCCCAAACCGACACAGGUGGUCAGGUAGAGAAUACCAAGGCGCUUGAGAGAACUCGGGUGAAGGAACUAGGCAAAAUGGUGCCGUAACUUCGGGAGAAGGCACGCUGAUAUGUAGGUGAAGUCCCUUGCGGAUGGAGCUGAAAUCAGUCGAAGAUACCAGCUGGCUGCAACUGUUUAUUAAAAACACAGCACUGUGCAAACACGAAAGUGGACGUAUACGGUGUGACGCCUGCCCGGUGCCGGAAGGUUAAUUGAUGGGGUCAGCGCAAGCGAAGCUCUUGAUCGAAGCCCCGGUAAACGGCGGCCGUAACUAUAACGGUCCUAAGGUAGCGAAAUUCCUUGUCGGGUAAGUUCCGACCUGCACGAAUGGCGUAAUGAUGGCCAGGCUGUCUCCACCCGAGACUCAGUGAAAUUGAACUCGCUGUGAAGAUGCAGUGUACCCGCGGCAAGACGGAAAGACCCCGUGAACCUUUACUAUAGCUUGACACUGAACAUUGAGCCUUGAUGUGUAGGAUAGGUGGGAGGCUUUGAAGUGUGGACGCCAGUCUGCAUGGAGCCGGCCUUGAAAU
Molecule: ribosomal RNA, 1739 nt
Filed under: Shigella sonnei
Lineage: Bacteria; Pseudomonadati; Pseudomonadota; Gammaproteobacteria; Enterobacterales; Enterobacteriaceae
Description: partial 23S ribosomal RNA
Rfam family: Bacterial large subunit ribosomal RNA
Source: RNAcentral